This is a long non-coding RNA of Panicum virgatum (switchgrass), 2598 nucleotides long. RefSeq lists it as uncharacterized. The record is from RefSeq and is a predicted model, not a curated record. Lineage: Eukaryota; Viridiplantae; Streptophyta; Magnoliopsida; Poales; Poaceae. The transcript is spliced from 3 exons.
CGUCCAACCUCCCCAAUCCAUUUUUUUUCCUUCGGUCUUAUCCCAUUCAGCUUCGAAUAGAUCGUGGGCCAUUCCGUUUCCCGAUUUGUGGCGAUGCACAGCCUCCCGCCGGCGACCCUCCCGUAUCGCCCCGGCGAGCUUCAGACGUCCGCGGCGGGCUCCGGUUCACCCCCUCUUGCCGCGCCGCCGAGAGCCUCCCGCCGGCGCGCCACAUCCUCCCACUGGCGCCCCGGCAAGACCCUGCGCCGUCGGCGACCCUCCUGGCGAUGCGUUGCUUUUCCGUCCCGUGCCUCCCCGGUGAGCUGCAGGCAUCCGUGCAGCGUGGUCACAACAACGCUCUGUUGAAGAUACGUUGCCGGCGGCGCAAGGUGUCGUUCUUGCCCUCCGUCGCAGAUCCCCUGCGCCCCGACACCACAGCCUCCACCACACCAUUGUGCUUGGCCGCUACCGAUUCCGUCGAUGUUCGCCAUCUGUGAGCCCACAUCCGUCUUUCCCAUUAUCUUCUCUCUUCACUCGCCCCCUUUAAAUAUCUCACCAGGUGAUUUCUUUUGAUCUGUUGCCUUAUAUUAAUAUAUGUUCCAAGAAAUCCGGAUUGGGUGAGAUCUCAUCCAAUUGGCUGCUGUUCCAGUCCCUAACGUGAUGAGUUUGUGACUCUCAUUGAUGGCGGGAUCCAUCCUGAUGCGUGGUCACCCAUCCCUGGCUGGCGAGCUGGUGGCAUGGCUGACGAGCUGGUGGCCAUGAGCAGAUGCACAACGAUGUGCAACAACACAGAAACACCGAAUCAAGCAUCCAGCAGAGAGGACAAGUGCCUUGCCCCUGCCCUCUGGUGCCUUGCCCCUUUGUGCUUUCUUCUAUGUGCUUUCUUCUAUUAUCAACUGGUGCAUUGUAUUCUCUUUGUGAAACUCCACUGGUGCAUUUGUUCAGGAGGGGAUUUUUUUGUUUGCUAAUUAAUCUCCGAGUCCAACGUAUGUGGAUAGUUGUAGAUAACAUCUCUCGGCAGAGUUAUGAUUACUAGAUUAGCUAGAAAAUUAUUUGGCAGAUUUUGCUGAAUUUAUUGAUUGAUAGUUCAGUUUAUUUUAGCAGACAAUUUGCAAAUUAUUACAGCGUCAGUGUGCUUGUGAGCUUCUACCUGCUAGCCUGCUACUGCCUGUGUGGUUUUGGCCGGUGGCCACUGCAUUCAGUACACUAGAACAUGCUUGGUGAUCAACACUAGGUGUUAUGUGCUUUUGAAAUAUAUAUAAUGUCUCAUGGAUUGUGAUUUUUGAUUGGCCAUAUGAUUUUUAGGAGUUAUCCACCUAUUUAGUUUAGUAUAACUGCUUUAUAUAAUACCUGCCUGCGCCUAGACAGAGCAUGCAGCUGUUUUUCGUGGUUCUAUUGUGGAUCUGUGCAACUAAUGAUGCAUGAUUAGCUCUAUGUUUUGGUGGAUUAAUCAGAUGCAUAAUUUAUCAAAAAUAUUCAACUUUCGUCGGUUAUAUCAUUGAGAUAUAAAAGCUGCCUUGCCAUGGCCAUUUUAGUUCAGUCAAAAUAAUUUGUGUCCAUUGCCUUCCUGAUCUAGACUGCUCUUAGUUCACAGGCUACAAAUGAAGAUUAAAACUGUUAUUUUGGAUGACUUAAAAUCACACUAGUAAUGAAGAUGGUUUUCUAUACAAUGUAAGGUUCUUUUGCCAUACAGAUAUACUUUCUCCUAUUUUUGUGUUACUGCAUACAAUUUUCUAUCUGCAGACCAUUUAAUUUCCGUUGGUUGAUUUACCUGGGUGCUUCUGAUGAUUUGUCCAGGUUGCAGUUCAAAUUAGGUCGUAGGUUGUUACAAUUGGUAGCUGCAUCACUCUUUUCCCUGUUUCAUUAUUUUAUAGUUCCGUUUCUUAUGAUUUGUUAAGGUUGUAGUUCAAAGAGGUGCCCCUCUUUUCUUACCUUCAUUCGAUCCCCCAUUUGUUUCUUGAUUGACUGUGUUGGUGGCGAUGGUGUGUAAUAAUAAAAACCAUUAGGUUGGAGAGUUUAAUCGAGUACCUGCUGGUGUUUUCAGUCAGAUAGCAUUCUAUGCCCCUGCUGCUGCUUGAUGGCCCGCGUUGGUGGAGGCGGUUAGUGGGGACGAUUUGCAAUAAUGGAGAGCAUCUUUAACACCGUUCGGCUGGCUGGAUGGCUGCUGGACGGCUGCCUCUGGCUGAAACGGGUCCAGCCGAGAGCAGCCCAGAGUAUAGCAGCCGAACAUAGUUUUUGGCGACCAUCAAUAUGUCAUGGCAUGUUGGUCGUAUGAGCAGUUGUAUGCCACGUAUCAGCUCAAACUGGACUUCAUCUCCGAAGAAAGGAAUACCCCCUGCACUGAGUUACUAUUGGGGCUAGCAUUUAGUGAAGAAUUAUUGAAGAUUGAUAUUGACUGCAGCAGCGACACACCUGCAUAGCAUCUCAUGAUCCUAAGUAUUCUAUGACAUCAAACAUUGUUUUUGUAAUUAUGUAGCGCUUUGACUUCGUGGCUUGUAUUUUCUGAAGUUGCUUGGGUGUGGUUAGGUGUACAGCAGUUUGUAAAUUUUCGCUUGCGCAGUCGGACCAUGUCUGUUCAAGUAAUUCUUUCGAGUAUACUAGCAAUUAUGUUUGUGUGUU